UAGGGAAUCUUCCGCAAUGGACGCAAGUCUGACGGAGCAACGCCGCGUGAGUGAAGAAGGAUUUCGGUUCGUAAAACUCUGUUGUUAGAGAAGAACAGCGCAUAGAGUAACUGUUAUGCGUGUGACGGUAUCUAACCAGAAAGCCACGGCUAACUACGUGCCAGCAGCCGCGGUAAUACGUAGGUGGCAAGCGUUGUCCGGAUUUAUUGGGCGUAAAGCGAGCGCAGGCGGUCAAUUAAGUCUGAUGUGAAAGCCCCCGGCUCAACCGGGGAGGGUCAUUGGAAACUGGUUGACUUGAGUGCAGAAGAGGAGAGUGGAAUUCCAUGUGUAGCGGUGAAAUGCGUAGAUAUAUGGCGGAACACCAGUGGCGAAGGUGACUCUCUGGUCUGUAACUGACGCUGAGGCUCGAAAGCGUGGGUAGCAAACAGG
Molecule: ribosomal RNA, 429 nt
Filed under: Bacteroidota bacterium
Lineage: Bacteria; Pseudomonadati; Bacteroidota
Description: Bacteroidetes bacterium partial 16S ribosomal RNA
Rfam family: Bacterial small subunit ribosomal RNA
Source: RNAcentral